UACGUAGGGGGCAAGCGUUGUCCGGAUUUACUGGGCGUAAAGAGCGUGUAGGCGGCCAUACAGGUCCGUUGUGAAAACUCGAGGCUCAACCUCGAGACGCCGAUGGAAACCGUAUGGCUAGAGUCCGGAAGAGGAGAGUGGAAUUCCUGGUGUAGCGGUGAAAUGCGCAGAUAUCAGGAGGAACACCGGUGGCGAAGGCGCACAUCUGGCCCAAUACUGACGCUGAGGCGCGAAAGCUAGGGGAGCAAACGGG
RNAcentral lists this ribosomal RNA (253 nucleotides) under uncultured bacterium. RNAcentral describes it as "partial 16S ribosomal RNA". It matches the Rfam family "Bacterial small subunit ribosomal RNA", at positions 524 to 776 of the family's 1533-position model. The record is from RNAcentral.